UACGAAGGGUGCAAGCGUUACUCGGAAUUACUGGGCGUAAAGCGUGCGUAGGUGGCCUGUUAAGUCUGAUGUGCAAGCCCCGGGCUCAACCUGGGAAUUGCAUUGGAUACUGGCAGGCUAGAGUGCGGUAGAGGGGAGUGGAAUUCCCGGGGUAGCAGUGAAAGGCGUAGAGAUCGGGAGGAACACCAGUGGCGAAGGCGACUACCUGGACAAGCACUGACACUGAGGCACGAAAGCGUGGGGAGCAAACAGG
RNAcentral lists this ribosomal RNA (253 nucleotides) under uncultured bacterium. RNAcentral's name for it is "partial 16S ribosomal RNA". It matches the Rfam family "Bacterial small subunit ribosomal RNA", at positions 524 to 776 of the family's 1533-position model. The record is from RNAcentral.